Molecule: long non-coding RNA, 712 nt
Organism: Pan troglodytes (chimpanzee)
Lineage: Eukaryota; Metazoa; Chordata; Mammalia; Primates; Hominidae
Exons: 3
Source: RefSeq, a predicted model, not a curated record
UAAAAUAUCUUCCGGGGGAGGAGCCAAGAUGGCCGAAUAGGAACAGCUCCGGUCUACAGCUCCCAGCCUGAGCGACGAAGAAGACGGGUGAUUUCUGCAUUUCCAUCUGAGGUACCGGGUUCAUCUCACUAGGGAGUGCCAGACAGUGGGCGCAGGCUUCUCUAGUGGUGCUGAAAUGAGGUGAUGAUUCCACAAAAACUCAACUAGCAACCAGAGUAUCUUUAUACAUCUCCUGCAUUCAUUGCAAGAAGAAUGGAUUUCAACUCUCAGGGAGGCAGAGUCAUACCUGAAGAUUUAACUGACAUGAGGUGGACACAACCUCCUUCCCACCACCCUCCAGUGACAGUCCUGUUCCAGCCUAGCUUCAGUGGACAAAGCAUCCAGUCACAACAUGUGCAACCACUGUAUGCCACAAGGAUGCUUCCUUGUGCUGUGGAGGAUACACAAAGCUUGUUUCUUUUGGAAGCGAGCCACCAUGUUGCACAGAAGCUCAGGCUGGACAACAGGAUAAUGAGAGGCCAGAUAGAGGGAGGUCUACACAAUGAGACCAUCUUGGACAUCUUGGACAUUCCAGCCACAAUAGAUCUCCCAGCUGGAUGUAGUUACCAGAGUGAUCUCAGCUACACUAUGGGGAACAAAAGACCUACUGAGCUGCUCCUAGCAAACCCAUGGAAUUGUGACAAAAAAUAAAUCAUUGUUGUUUGCAGCUACU